UCAAUAAAAACACAAGGAAAAAACGCAUUGAACACUGUUUAAAUAAGUAAUAAUGAGUAGUUGUCAUGGUAAAUGUUUAUCGAAAGGUUAAAGGAGAAGGUCACCAAAAACGCAGCAUUUCAAGAUUAGGUAACUAAUCUCACACUAGUAACUACUCUUUGGUGCAUAACACGAGAAAAAGUUGCAGUGACACUAUUAUUUUUAUAUUGUUAUUAUGCAUAAGUAUCUAAUUAUUUCCAUUUUCGUCCUUUUGUUUUCAAUGGCAUUUGCGCCACCUGCACAAAAACCGUUUUCAAUAGACGAUUGUUCGAAACCAAUACACAUUGGAAAGACUGCAUGCUUCGCCGCCUUCCGUAUUUACCACUGGAAUCACGCAGAACAGCAGUGUGAAAAGGGGAUAUACGGGGGAUGUCAUGGGAGUAACAAUAUUUUCUCUUCUCUUGAAGACUGUCAGAAUACUGCUGAAAGUAUUUGUAAGACAAAUAAAAAUUAACUUGUAUGGUGAAUAUGGAAUUGUAAACUCUUAAUUCUGACUCAAAGAAUGAAGACUUUUGUUGAUACAUUUUAUAAAUUUCAGUUUGAUAUAAUAAACAUGAUUUAGUAAAAAUUA
Zophobas morio is the source of this 610-nucleotide long non-coding RNA. RefSeq lists it as uncharacterized. The transcript has 2 exons. NCBI's taxonomy places the organism in Eukaryota, Metazoa, Arthropoda, Insecta, Coleoptera, Tenebrionidae. The record is from RefSeq and is a predicted model, not a curated record.